This is a long non-coding RNA of Mangifera indica (mango), 579 nucleotides long. RefSeq lists it as uncharacterized. Lineage: Eukaryota; Viridiplantae; Streptophyta; Magnoliopsida; Sapindales; Anacardiaceae. The record is from RefSeq and is a predicted model, not a curated record. The transcript is spliced from 2 exons.
AGUUUUGCUUCUCUCUUGGCGCUUUCCUUCCAUCUAAUCCUUAAAACAGAGAAGCAAACUCAUCUUCUCGUUUUCUAAAGUGGAAUAUAUAUAGCUGCUAAGUUACUGAUCAUGAGGGCAUCGUCAGUGUUGUUUGUCGCCUUCUUGUGGGUUUUGGCCGGUGUGGAAGUUGAUGCAAGAUGCCUUCCCUUAGAGGAUAAGCGCAGACUGAUCAUGGCUGAGCGUCAGCUCCUGAGUGAGAUAAAUACGGGUGCUUAUAAUGCUGAUGCUGGAACCACUACUACUGAUGAUGAUGCUGCAAAUUCAAACUAUAACAAGUAUGGCAAUCCUUCUGGCUCAGGUUCUGAAACUCACCAUAGAUUUACGAGUGAUCAGAAACCUAUCAAGAUCUAAUACCUCUAUGUUAUUUCGAAUGAGCUUGCAUGAAAACACAUAAAAAUUAUAAUGUACUGCUUUGUGUUCAUAUGAAGCUCCUCCUUGUUACAGGUUUCUAUAUAAGCCGGUUGUUAUAUGUAAUAAUUAAAAUUAUGAUGAAAUAAAGAGGCCAUGAAUUGAUGAUCGCUAGCAUGGUUUUGUGUC